UACGAAGGUGGCAAGCGUUACUCGGAUUUACUAGGCGUAAAGGGCAGGUAGGUGGUUUGAUAAGUCUGCUGUGUAAGCUCCCGGCUUAACUGGGAGAGGUCAGCGGAAACUGUCAGGCUUGAGUAUGGGAGAGGGUACUGGAAUUCCUGGUGUAGCGGUGAAAUGCGCAGAUAUCAGGAAGAACACCCGUGGCUAAGGCGGCUCUCUAGUACGGUACUGACGCUGAGACGCGAAAGCGUGGGGAGCGAACAGG
This 253-nucleotide ribosomal RNA is filed under the name uncultured bacterium. Its description in RNAcentral is "partial 16S ribosomal RNA". It matches the Rfam family "Bacterial small subunit ribosomal RNA", at positions 524 to 776 of the family's 1533-position model. The record is from RNAcentral.